RNAcentral lists this ribosomal RNA (254 nucleotides) under uncultured bacterium. Its description in RNAcentral is "partial 16S ribosomal RNA". It matches the Rfam family "Bacterial small subunit ribosomal RNA", at positions 524 to 776 of the family's 1533-position model. The record is from RNAcentral.
UACAGAGGGGGCCAGCGUUAUUCGGAAUUACUGGGCGUAAAGGGCGCGUAGGCGGCCUCUGCAAGUCGACUGUGAAAUCUCCGGGCUUAACCCGGAACGGUCAGCCGAUACUGCAGGGCUAGAGUGCAGAAGGGGCAACUGGAAUUCUCGGUGUAGCGGUGAAAUGCGUAGAUAUCGAGAGGAACACCUGCGGCGAAGGCGGGUUGCUGGGCUGACACUGACGCUGAAGUGCGAAAGCUAGGGGAGCGAACGGG